Molecule: unclassified non-coding RNA, 596 nt
Filed under: Hevea brasiliensis (rubber tree)
Lineage: Eukaryota; Viridiplantae; Streptophyta; Magnoliopsida; Malpighiales; Euphorbiaceae
Source: RNAcentral
CUAACACACCAACAAGAACAAUCUCAGCUAUUGCGUCAAUGCUCUGGGAAGAUUUGGUUAAUAAUUCCAAAAAGGAACCAGGUCGUCCAGGAGAUUUCAUUAACAGGAAGAAGAUCCAGUGUGCUGAGAAGAUGAUUAGAGGAGCAUUUGUGGAGCUCUAUAGAGGCCUUGGCCUUCUUAAAACUUACAGCUCACUCAACAUGGUGGCUUUUACCAAAAUACUCAAGAAAUUUGAUAAGGUAUCAAACCAGCAUGCAUCAGCAAGUUAUCUAAAAGCAGUGAAGAGAUCCUACUUCAUUAGCUCUGAUAAGGUUGUUAGACUAAUGGAUGAAGUGGAGGCCAUAUUCACAAAGCACUUCGCCGACAAUGACAGGAAAAAGGCAAUGAAGUUCCUCAGACCCCAGCAGCGGAAGGAGUCUCACAUGGUCACCUUUUUUGUUGGCUUGUUUACUGGUUGUUUCGUGUCCCUCUUUAGUAUUUAUGCAACCUUGGCACAUAUGUCUGGCAUUUUUAGCCCCAAUGCUGGAAGAUCAUAUGUGGAAACUGUCUACCCUGUUUUCAGUGUGUUUGCAUUGUUAAGCUUGCAUUUGUUCAUG